GAUGAACGCUGGCGGCGUGCCUAAUACAUGCAAGUCGAGCGAACGGACGAGAAGCUUGCUUCUCUGAUGUUAGCGGCGGACGGGUGAGUAACACGUGGAUAACCUACCUAUAAGACUGGGAUAACUUCGGGAAACCGGAGCUAAUACCGGAUGAUAUUUUGAACCGCAUGGUUCAAAAGUGAAAGACGGUCUUGCUGUCACUUAUAGAUGGAUCCGCGCUGCAUUAGCUAGUUGGUAGGGUAACGGCUUACCAAGGCAACGAUGCAUAGCCGACCUGAGAGGGUGAUCGGCCACACUGGAACUGAGCCACGGUCCAGACUCCUACGGGAGGCAGCAGUAGGGAAUCUUCCGCAAUGGGCGAAAGCCUGACGGAGCAACGCCGCGUGAGUGAUGAAGGUCUUCGGAUCGUAAAACUCUGUUAUUAGGGAAGAACAUAUGUGUAAGUAACUGUGCACAUCUUGACGGUACCUAAUCAGAAAGCCACGGCUAACUACGUG
Molecule: ribosomal RNA, 497 nt
Filed under: uncultured bacterium
Lineage: Bacteria
Description: partial 16S ribosomal RNA
Rfam family: Bacterial small subunit ribosomal RNA
Source: RNAcentral